GCCACCGCGGUUAUACGAGAGGCUCAAAUUGAUGAAAAACGGCGUAAAGCGUGGUUAAGAAAACAAGAGAAAAUAUGGCCGAACAGCUUCAAAGCAGUUAUACGCAUCCGAAGUCACGAAGAACAAUCACGAAAGUUGCCUUAAAACCUCUGAUUCCACGAAAGCCAUAAAACAAACUGGGAUUAGAUACCCCACUAUGUAUGGUCGUUAACAUUGAUGGUUUUAUACCCAAACCAUCCGCCUGGGAACUACGAGCAAUAGCUUAAAACCCAAAGGACUUGGCGGUGCUUUAGACCCCCCUAGAGGAGCCUGUUCUAGAACUGAUAACCCCCGUUUAACCUCACCAUCCUUUGUUUACCCCGCCUAUAUACCACCGUCGUCAGCUUACCCUGUGAAGGGAAAAUAGUAAGCAUAAAUGGCAAAGCCAAAAACGUCAGGUCGAGGUGUAGCGAAUGGGAUGGGAAGAAAUGGGCUACAUUCUCUAUUAUAGAGAAUACGAAUUGUAAUUUGAAAAAAAUUACCUGAAGGAGGAUUUAGCAGUAAGUAGGGACUAGAGUGCCCUGCUGAAAACGGCCCUGAAGCGCGCACACACCGCCCGUCACUCUCUCCAAAUAAACCCUAGAUAUUACCUAAAAUGCUUUUUAUAAUAAGGGGAGGCAAGUCGUAACAUGGUAA
RNAcentral lists this ribosomal RNA (675 nucleotides) under Melanogrammus aeglefinus (haddock). Its description in RNAcentral is "partial 12S ribosomal RNA". It matches the Rfam family "Bacterial small subunit ribosomal RNA", at positions 511 to 1499 of the family's 1533-position model. Lineage: Eukaryota; Metazoa; Chordata; Actinopteri; Gadiformes; Gadidae. The record is from RNAcentral.